RNAcentral lists this ribosomal RNA (1435 nucleotides) under Klebsiella sp. RNAcentral's name for it is "bacterial SSU rRNA". It matches the Rfam family "Bacterial small subunit ribosomal RNA". The record is from RNAcentral. Lineage: Bacteria; Pseudomonadati; Pseudomonadota; Gammaproteobacteria; Enterobacterales; Enterobacteriaceae.
AUGGCUCAGAUUGAACGCUGGCGGCAGGCCUAACACAUGCAAGUCGAGCGGUAACACAGAGAGCUUGCUCUCGGGUGACGAGCGGCGGACGGGUGAGUAAUGUCUGGGAAACUGCCUGAUGGAGGGGGAUAACUACUGGAAACGGUAGCUAAUACCGCAUAACGUCGCAAGACCAAAGUGGGGGACCUUCGGGCCUCAUGCCAUCAGAUGUGCCCAGAUGGGAUUAGCUAGUAGGUGGGGUAAUGGCUCACCUAGGCGACGAUCCCUAGCUGGUCUGAGAGGAUGACCAGCCACACUGGAACUGAGACACGGUCCAGACUCCUACGGGAGGCAGCAGUGGGGAAUAUUGCACAAUGGGCGCAAGCCUGAUGCAGCCAUGCCGCGUGUAUGAAGAAGGCCUUCGGGUUGUAAAGUACUUUCAGCGAGGAGGAAGGCGUUAAGGUUAAUAACCUUGGCGAUUGACGUUACUCGCAGAAGAAGCACCGGCUAACUCCGUGCCAGCAGCCGCGGUAAUACGGAGGGUGCAAGCGUUAAUCGGAAUUACUGGGCGUAAAGCGCACGCAGGCGGUCUGUCAAGUCGGAUGUGAAAUCCCCGGGCUCAACCUGGGAACUGCAUUCGAAACUGGCAGGCUAGAGUCUUGUAGAGGGGGGUAGAAUUCCAGGUGUAGCGGUGAAAUGCGUAGAGAUCUGGAGGAAUACCGGUGGCGAAGGCGGCCCCCUGGACAAAGACUGACGCUCAGGUGCGAAAGCGUGGGGAGCAAACAGGAUUAGAUACCCUGGUAGUCCACGCCGUAAACGAUGUCGACUUGGAGGUUGUGCCCUUGAGGCGUGGCUUCCGGAGCUAACGCGUUAAGUCGACCGCCUGGGGAGUACGGCCGCAAGGUUAAAACUCAAAUGAAUUGACGGGGGCCCGCACAAGCGGUGGAGCAUGUGGUUUAAUUCGAUGCAACGCGAAGAACCUUACCUACUCUUGACAUCCAGAGAACUUAGCAGAGAUGCUUUGGUGCCUUCGGGAACUCUGAGACAGGUGCUGCAUGGCUGUCGUCAGCUCGUGUUGUGAAAUGUUGGGUUAAGUCCCGCAACGAGCGCAACCCUUAUCCUUUGUUGCCAGCGGUCCGGCCGGGAACUCAAAGGAGACUGCCAGUGAUAAACUGGAGGAAGGUGGGGAUGACGUCAAGUCAUCAUGGCCCUUACGAGUAGGGCUACACACGUGCUACAAUGGCAUAUACAAAGAGAAGCGACCUCGCGAGAGCAAGCGGACCUCAUAAAGUAUGUCGUAGUCCGGAUUGGAGUCUGCAACUCGACUCCAUGAAGUCGGAAUCGCUAGUAAUCGUAGAUCAGAAUGCUACGGUGAAUACGUUCCCGGGCCUUGUACACACCGCCCGUCACACCAUGGGAGUGGGUUGCAAAAGAAGUAGGUAGCUUAACCUUCGGG